Molecule: long non-coding RNA, 664 nt
Filed under: Cervus hanglu yarkandensis (Yarkand deer)
Lineage: Eukaryota; Metazoa; Chordata; Mammalia; Artiodactyla; Cervidae
Description: lncRNA (ENSCHYG00000008373.1)
Source: RNAcentral
ACCAUGCCCGCGUCUAGACUGCAAUUGAAGGAAGCGGCUGCUCCUCAAUGGCCUCGGGGCUCAGUGGGUUCGGUUGUGAGUAGGAAGACGCUAGCGGGUUAGAGCCGGGGUGAGGUAUUUGCUAGAAGGUGGUGUUCCUCGGGAGCUUGAGUGUCACCGCUGUGACAGCAUCCGUGGCCUCCGGUCUCCAUCUUCUGCUGGUAUACAGAGGGUUCCUGGAGCCGCUGAGUGGAGACCAGGUUGAGAUUCCCCACGUGUCUCUCUUCCCUCUCAGUGAAGAAGGGAGGACCAUGUCACUAGACUUUGGCAGUGUGGCCCUGCAGACGCAAAAUGAAGACGAAGAAUUUGACAAAGAAGACUAUGAAAGGGAGAAAGAGGUAAGUUAUUCAGAAGAAUUCUAAACCCGAUCUUAAACAAUUUUAUAUUCUAACCAAAAUUAUAUCAUUUUGUGUCAUUUCAAAGGUCUUUUCCCCUACCCUGAAACUUGAUCGGCAUUUUAAAUGGUAGAUGAGUGGAAGGCUUCCUUUUUUUGAGACAAGAAUAAAACACAACUGUGUAUGAUGCCAUCAGUUAAAUGGUUAGAUUCUUUAAGAUCUUUUCAUUUAUGAGGUAGUGGUUGAUCUUGGAGGCAGAGAUGUACUUGCAUGGGCAAGUCAGCAAGAUU